RNAcentral lists this unclassified non-coding RNA (201 nucleotides) under uncultured fungus. RNAcentral's name for it is "partial contains 18S rRNA, ITS1, 5.8S rRNA, ITS2 and 28S rRNA". The record is from RNAcentral. Lineage: Eukaryota; Fungi.
AAGGAUCAUUCAUAAUAAGUGUUUUAUGGCACUUUUUAAAUCCAUAUCCACCUUGUGUGCAAUGUCAGUCGGUCUUCUUUUUUCGUCAAGAAAAAAAGGAUCGACCAAACAUCAACUUAUUCUAAUUGAACUUUUGUCUGAAAACUAUUAUGAAUAAACUAAUUCAAAAUACAACUUUCAACAACGGAUCUCUUGGCUCUC